CGGGAGUAACGCGUGAGGAACCUGCCUCAAAGAGGGGGACAACAGUUGGAAACGACUGCUAAUACCGCAUAAGCCCACGGCUCGGCAUCGAGCAGAGGGAAAAGGAGCAAUCCGCUUUGAGAUGGCCUCGCGUCCGAUUAGCUAGUUGGUGAGGUAAUGGCCCACCAAGGCGACGAUCGGUAGCCGGACUGAGAGGUUGAACGGCCACAUUGGGACUGAGACACGGCCCAG
Molecule: ribosomal RNA, 231 nt
Filed under: uncultured bacterium
Lineage: Bacteria
Description: partial 16S ribosomal RNA
Rfam family: Bacterial small subunit ribosomal RNA
Source: RNAcentral